Long non-coding RNA from Heterocephalus glaber (naked mole-rat), 900 nucleotides. The record is from Ensembl. Lineage: Eukaryota; Metazoa; Chordata; Mammalia; Rodentia; Bathyergidae.
CUGUUUUCUGUGUCAUUAAAUAUCUGUCAAGAGCACGAGUCUUCAAUCACUCAUCCCCCCUCCAGGGUGGGGUCCCACCCAGGGGCACUUUAUUUGUUAGGGAUGAUCUCCCUAAGUUGCCCACAUUGGCCUAAACUUGUGAUCUUCCUGCCUCAGCCUCCUGAAUACCUGGGAUUACAGAGUCUUCCUAUGUAGCCCAGGCUGGCCUCGAAUGCAGCAGUCCUCCUGCCUCAGCUUCCCAAAUGCUGGGAUCAGAGGCGUAUGCCCCCAUGCCGGCAUCUCUUCAUUUUCAAAUCAAGGAUAACAAUAACCACUACGGGACCAGGGAUUUAGCUCAGUGGUUUCGCCUCCUGCUGCACAAGCGCAAGGGCCCGAGUUCGAUCCCCGGUACCAAAAAAAACCCAAAAAACAGUAACCACUACAAUUGGCCUCUGCAUCAAUGGAUUCUGCAUCUGUAGAUUCAACUAACCAUAGAUGAGACAUUAAAAAUAUUGUAUCUUAAAAAAAAUUUUAAAAAUAUUGUAUCUGUACUGAACAUGAACCUGUCGUCAUCCCCUAAAUAAUAUAGCAAAACUACUGUUCACACAGCAUUUACAUGGUACUGUAAAUAAUCUGGAGACAAUUUCAAAUAUACAGGAGGAGUGCAUAUGCUAUAUGCAAAUACCGUGCCAUUUUUCAUAGGGGACUUGAGCAUCCUAGAUUUUGGUAUCCCAGGGGAUUUCAGAACCAACCCCUCAUAGAUACUGAGGAGCAGCUAUAUUGGGGAAAAGCAUUAUGUUUUACAAAUUAUUUUUGUAUAUUUACUUAGGUAUGCACAGAGUCCCAACUAUAUACUUGGCACUAUGGAAACACUGUGUCUAAAGAAGGAGACACAAUUCUUGCAUUUUUGGAAAUUCAGUC